CAGUAGCCGCGGGAACACGGAGGGUGUAAGCGUUAAUCGGAAUUACUGGGCGUAAAGCGUGCGUAGGCGGUUCGUUAAGUCUGUUGUGAAAGCCCCGGGCUCAACCUGGGAAUGGCAAUGGAUACUGGCGAGCUAGAGUGUGUCAGAGGAUGGUGGAAUUCCCGGUGUAGCGGUGAAAUGCGUAGAGAUCGGGAGGAACAUCAGUGGCGAAGGCGGCCAUCUGGGACAACACUGACGCUGAGGCACGAAAGCGUGGGGAGCAAACAGGAUUAGAUACCCCGGUAGUCCCUGUCUCUUAUAC
RNAcentral lists this ribosomal RNA (301 nucleotides) under uncultured bacterium. RNAcentral's name for it is "partial 16S ribosomal RNA". It matches the Rfam family "Bacterial small subunit ribosomal RNA", at positions 509 to 807 of the family's 1533-position model. The record is from RNAcentral.